GCCCACUUUGACCUAUCUGGAAAAUUUAAACAGGGUCAGAUCUGCUUUGUAUUUGGAUGGGAGAGCACCAAGAAAUGCCAGGGGAGUGGGCU
RNAcentral lists this ribosomal RNA (92 nucleotides) under Salvator merianae (Argentine black and white tegu). The record is from RNAcentral. Lineage: Eukaryota; Metazoa; Chordata; Lepidosauria; Squamata; Teiidae.